RNAcentral lists this ribosomal RNA (253 nucleotides) under uncultured bacterium. RNAcentral's name for it is "partial 16S ribosomal RNA". It matches the Rfam family "Bacterial small subunit ribosomal RNA", at positions 524 to 776 of the family's 1533-position model. The record is from RNAcentral.
UACAGAGGUCUCAAGCGUUGUUCGGAUUCAUUGGGCGUAAAGGGUGCGUAGGUGGUGGGGUAAGUCGGAUGUGAAAUCCCGGGGCUCAACCCCGGAACUGCAUUCGAUACUGCCUUACUCGAGUACUGGAGAGGAGACUGGAAUUUACGGUGUAGCAGUGAAAUGCGUAGAUAUCGUAAGGAAGACCAGUGGCGAAGGCGAGUCUCUGGACAGUUACUGACACUGAGGCACGAAGGCCAGGGGAGCAAACGGG